UACGAAGGGGGCUAGCGUUGCUCGGAAUCACUGGGCGUAAAGCGCACGUAGGCGGAUCUUUAAGUCAGGGGUGAAAUCCUGGAGCUCAACUCCAGAACUGCCUUUGAUACUGGGGAUCUCGAGUCCGGGAGAGGUGAGUGGAACUCCGAGUGUAGAGGUGAAAUUCGUAGAUAUUCGGGAGAACACCAGUGGCGAAGGCGGCUCACUGGCCCGGUACUGACGCUGAGGUGCGAAAGCGUGGGGAGCAAACAGG
RNAcentral lists this ribosomal RNA (253 nucleotides) under uncultured bacterium. RNAcentral's name for it is "partial 16S ribosomal RNA". It matches the Rfam family "Bacterial small subunit ribosomal RNA", at positions 524 to 776 of the family's 1533-position model. The record is from RNAcentral.